RNAcentral lists this ribosomal RNA (185 nucleotides) under uncultured bacterium. RNAcentral's name for it is "partial 16S ribosomal RNA". It matches the Rfam family "Bacterial small subunit ribosomal RNA", at positions 338 to 539 of the family's 1533-position model. The record is from RNAcentral.
UCUACGGGCCGCAGCAGUGGGGAAUAUUGGACAAUAGGGGCAACCCUGAUCCAGCGACGCCGCGUGAGUGAAGAAGUAUUUCGGUAUGUAAAGCUCUAUCAGCAGGGAAGAAAAUGACGGUACCUGACUAAGAAGCUCCGGCUAAAUACGUGCCAGCAGCCGCGGUAAUUCCGGUGGCCAGCUUA